UAACGCGUGGGUAACCUGCCUCAUACAGGGGGAUAGCAGUUAGAAAUGACUGCUAAUACCGCAUAAGCGCACAGUGCUGCAUGGCACAGUGUGAAAAACUCCGGUGGUAUGAGAUGGACCCGCGUCUGAUUAGCUAGUUGGUGGGGUAACGGCCUACCAAGGCGACGAUCAGUAGCCGGCCUGAGAGGGUGAACGGCCACAUUGGGACUGAGACACGGCCCAA
This 223-nucleotide ribosomal RNA is filed under the name uncultured bacterium. RNAcentral's name for it is "partial 16S ribosomal RNA". It matches the Rfam family "Bacterial small subunit ribosomal RNA", at positions 111 to 334 of the family's 1533-position model. The record is from RNAcentral.